This is a long non-coding RNA of Papaver somniferum (opium poppy), 1080 nucleotides long. RefSeq lists it as uncharacterized. The transcript has 3 exons. Lineage: Eukaryota; Viridiplantae; Streptophyta; Magnoliopsida; Ranunculales; Papaveraceae. The record is from RefSeq and is a predicted model, not a curated record.
UAGAUAACCCUAACUCUAGUUUAAGUUUUUCCUUCUUCAUCAUUUUCUUACUACCUACUGGGAAGUAACUAAAUCGCUCUCCCAUGAUCUAUUAUUUAAUCUUAGUAUAUUUGACUAAUCAGAACUGUUUAUAUCCAUUAAUUUAAUUCAAUUUUCCCUAAUUUUGAUCUGAAAUUUUAGAAAUUAUAAUAACUAAUUUUCAGGCUCACAUAAAGUUUGCUUGUAUUCCUCAAUGAAAUAUUUUCGUUAUUAAUCUUAUAGUAUUGGAAUAAUCAAGACCAGUUUGAAUGUACUAAUUUAAUCCAACUUCUCUUAAUUUUCAGCUGAAGUUUAGGAUUAAUUUAACUAUUUUCUAUGCUCAUAUAUUGUUUGCUUAAAUUCCCCAAUGACUUUUUGUUAUACAUUGACCGGGGAAGGAAGGGGUUCAACCUUGGUGCAUAUCCUUAAUUCUUUUCAUCUCUUAUCAGGUACCCAAGGUACGCUGCCGACUCAUCGUCAACUAUCCAAACGAGGAAGAUUGGAAGCGCUUUCAGCCCUAUAUCCAAAGCAGAUGGAUCAAAAGUGCUGCUCGAAAUAUUGAGCUCAAUACAUGAAGUAGUUGUUGAGAUAAUUGAACCCGAAAAAUUGCGCACCCGAAGAGCUUGAAUAGAAGAAGGCAUACCUGAAGGGGUGGAAGUUAGGGAGCUGCUAUCCAGAGUCAGGGGAAGGAAAGAUUCAAUUGCCCGAAAAAUAGAAGAUAGAAGGCUCUGUUCUUAGUGCAUGCUUCAGUGGACGGAAGAACUUGCUACCGAUGCAUUAGACGAAAGGCGCAGGGGAGAUUUAAUAUUAUGUGAUAUUUGGCAGAUGUAAAUUGACCCAGUGACCCCCGGUUGAACCACUGGUUAAACCAGUUGAUCCUGACCCAGUGAUUUUAUUGGGUAGAUGUCCGGUGUGGGUUUUAAAACAUUGCAUGCGAUGGAUAAUCUAUAAGUAUAGUCGACCGGUAUUUGCUACCGGAAAAGACUUUGAUUUGGAUAAUCUAUAAGUAUGACAUCAAGAAGGUCCAAACUUUUCGGAACGUUUUUAUUUCUGAAUUUAUGA